CUUUGCCAUUGUGGGUCCAUAAUAAGAGCUUUCCAUAGAAAUUCCUGUGGCUGGGAAAUAACUGAAAAAAAUAAAUGUUCAGAGAGAGAAAAAUCUUGUGCUUGAGGAUUCGCUUUCCUAUUCUCUGUCCUCUCACAUUACUAGAAGCGUGAAGCUUACAAAGAAUAAGCAAAAUCAAUUUCCAAAACUCAAUGGAAAAUACCCACUACUCAGCUCAUGUAAGAACUCGGGAACAACCAAAAUGACUCAUCUGUUAGAGACAGGAAGUUACCAUUCAGCCAUUUGGAAAGUUGGAUGUUUUUCAAAAGCAGGAAGAGCAGCUCUUUGGGCCUGGGUCAUUUCCUGGUCUCUGGACCAAGAGGAAGUUGGCACCAACAGAGCAGAAAUCCUGAAUCCCAUCAGACCAGCACAACUCUCUAACAGGUCUGUUGUGAAGCAGAAAUAUCACGGCAGAAGGGCAUGGUGGAGGAAAGCUGCUCACUUCAUGGCAGCCAGGAAGCAGAGAGAGGCUGUCUUGAAAACCAGGGGCCCAAGGUCAUGGUAAAACCCAGCAGCCCAGCA
Molecule: long non-coding RNA, 561 nt
Organism: Heterocephalus glaber (naked mole-rat)
Lineage: Eukaryota; Metazoa; Chordata; Mammalia; Rodentia; Bathyergidae
Source: Ensembl